RNAcentral lists this unclassified non-coding RNA (252 nucleotides) under Hevea brasiliensis (rubber tree). Lineage: Eukaryota; Viridiplantae; Streptophyta; Magnoliopsida; Malpighiales; Euphorbiaceae. The record is from RNAcentral.
GUUUCCACUCUCUCUCACAACUUUAAAACUCUUUCCCAGAAAGAAAAAAACAGAAAAGAAAAGAGAAUUUCAUAGCUCACAAGGCACAACCUUUUUCACCGAAAUAACUCUGUUUCUUUCUGGGUAAAUGGAGAGACACAGGUGUAAGAUUUGCUUCAAGAUCUUUUCUAAUGGAAGAGCUUUGGGUGGUCACAUGAGGUCUCAUAUGUUAAAUCUUCCAAUUCCUCCAAGACCAGAAGAAGAAGAAGAAGA